Molecule: long non-coding RNA, 521 nt
Organism: Sapajus apella (tufted capuchin)
Lineage: Eukaryota; Metazoa; Chordata; Mammalia; Primates; Cebidae
Exons: 2
Source: RefSeq, a predicted model, not a curated record
ACUAGAAGAUGACUUGAAGGAUUCUAAAGUGAGUACAGCUGGUGAAGAAGGAAAGGUAAGAGAGAAACAAUCAACCCUGAAGGGCUCAAACUUAAAAUGCCAAUCCUCCAAGCCAGUGGCCACCUUAAUAAAAUCCUCCAGUUUCACCCAUUGGUCUCUCUGGUCUCCUAAAUAUUCUAUAACAGCUGUGUUUCAAUAAAACUUUAUUCAUAAAAAUAGCCUGUCUGGGUCAUGGUUUGCAGCUCCCUGGUUUAAACAAUACUUCCAAAACAUUUAAACGGUUAUAAAUAAAGACUAAUAUGAAGUAAUUAGAAAAUUAUUAUUUUGCUUGGGAUUGGCCUAGGCCAAAGAUUAAUUAGGCUAUUUUAAAAAAUAGUUUAUAUUUUAAAGCAAUUCCAAAGGAUUGUCAUACACAAUGACUUAUUUUCCUCCUCAUGAUAUUACUUUCAAAUAAGGAGACUGCUGAUGGUGUCAGGAAGAAUUCACAAUAAAAUUAAUGUGUGUCUAUCAGGCUGUCAUUU